AACCCUGAUGCAGCAACGCCGCGUGAGUGAAGAAGGCAUGCGUGUCGUAAAACUCUGUAGUAGGGGAAGAAAGAAAUGACAGUACCCUAAAAGAAAGCCCCGGCUAACUACGUGCCAGCAGCCGCGGUAAUACGUAGGGGGCAAGCGUUAUCCGGAAUAACUGGGCGUAAAGGGUGCGCAGGUGGUUUAACAAGUUAGUGGUGAAAGGCAUAGGCUCAACCAAUGUAAGCCAUUAAAACUGUUUAACUUGGAGUGCAGGAGAGGAAAGUGGAAUUCCUAGUGUAGCGGUGAAAUGCGUAGAUAUUAGGAGGAAUACCAGUGGCGAAGGCGACUUUCUGGACUGCAACUGACACUGAGGCACGAAAGCGUGGGGAGCAAACAGGAUUAGAUACCCUGGUAGUCCACGCCGUAAACGAUGAGUACUAGGUGUCGGGUGAAGAACUCGGUGCCGAAGUUAACACAUUAAGUACUCCGCCUGGGGGAGUACGCUCGCAAGAGUAAGCUCAAAGGAAUUGACGGGGACCGCACAGCAGCGGAGCAUGUGGUUAAUUCGAAGCAACGCGAAGAACCU
Molecule: ribosomal RNA, 571 nt
Filed under: Filifactor alocis
Lineage: Bacteria; Bacillati; Bacillota; Clostridia; Peptostreptococcales; Filifactoraceae
Description: bacterial SSU rRNA
Rfam family: Bacterial small subunit ribosomal RNA
Source: RNAcentral